Molecule: ribosomal RNA, 509 nt
Filed under: uncultured bacterium
Lineage: Bacteria
Description: bacterial SSU rRNA
Rfam family: Bacterial small subunit ribosomal RNA
Source: RNAcentral
GACGAACGCUGGCGGCGUGCUUAACACAUGCAAGUCGAACGGAGAUUAUUAAUGAAGCUUGCGAUUUAAUAAUCUUAGUGGCGGACGGGUGAGUAACGCGUGGGCAACCUACCCAUAAGCGGGGGAUAACAGUUGGAAACGACUGCUAAUACCGCAUAAGCUAUAGAGGUCGCAUGACCUAAAUAGUAAAGGUGGCAUUUAAAGAUGCUAUCACUUAUGGAUGGGCCCGCGUCUGAUUAGCUAGUUGGUGGGGUAGUGGCCUACCAAGGCAACGAUCAGUAGCCGGCCUGAGAGGGUGACGGCCACACUGGGACUGAGACACGGCCCAGACUCCUACGGGAGGCAGCAGUGGGGAAUAUUGCGCAAUGGGGAAACCCUGACGCAGCGACGCCGCGUGAGCGAAGAAGGCCUUAGGGUCGUAAAGCUCUGUUGUAAGGGACGAAUGUUUAUCUGACGAACAGUCAGAUAAAGUGACGGUACCUUACCAGCAAGCCCCGGUCUAACCUACG